Oncorhynchus kisutch (coho salmon) is the source of this 257-nucleotide long non-coding RNA. RefSeq lists it as uncharacterized. NCBI's taxonomy places the organism in Eukaryota, Metazoa, Chordata, Actinopteri, Salmoniformes, Salmonidae. The transcript has 3 exons. The record is from RefSeq and is a predicted model, not a curated record.
CGUCCUCUCGUCACCAUAUUUGGUGAUGAGUGGAAACGCCAACCAAAUGCUUCGGAUUUACACAUCCGGUGAAACAUCUGGCUCACUGUUCCAUCUGUGGCGUAAAGGUCUCUCUCUCACCCCAGUCAAAUGGAUUAGUAUUAGUAAUGCACACACAUCUGUCUUCUCUGUAGGUGUUCCCCUUGGACUCUAGCUGCUCUCGGAGGAGGUGGGUGGUGCAGUGGAGGAUGACCUCCGUCUGGACACAGACUGCGAUC